GUUUUAGUUUUGUGCAUUAAGCACAGGUACAUUCCUUUACAAUGAUAGAGUGUGUAAAAAAUUGCCCGGGUACGGAUCCGAAGACCACUAAAAUGCACCCAAGCCAAGUGUUCACAGGUGUGUGGAUUGGUUUGCGACCGACGUGCACAUGCGUUUCCGCCAGCACAGUCGACCGACUUUGUAACUCAGUAAUGAUCCUUCCGCAGGUUCACCUACGGAAA
Molecule: unclassified non-coding RNA, 221 nt
Filed under: uncultured fungus
Lineage: Eukaryota; Fungi
Description: sequence contains ITS1
Source: RNAcentral